This 90-nucleotide transfer RNA is filed under the name Gammaproteobacteria bacterium. RNAcentral describes it as "tRNA-Ser". It matches the Rfam family "tRNA". From Rfam's summary of the family: Transfer RNA (tRNA) molecules are approximately 80 nucleotides in length. Their secondary structure includes four short double-helical elements and three loops (D, anti-codon, and T loops). Lineage: Bacteria; Pseudomonadati; Pseudomonadota; Gammaproteobacteria. RNAcentral also lists the same sequence under 7 other names. The record is from RNAcentral.
GGAGGAUUGGCAGAGCGGCUUAAUGCGCACGCUUGGAAAGUGUGUAAUCGGUUAAACGAUUCGUGAGUUCGAAUCUCACAUCCUCCACCA